AUAUCCGGGUUCCCGCCGCCUCCACCGCCGCCGCCUCAGCCGCCUCGCACAUUUAGUCUUGCGGGGAGUGGUGUGAUUCCCGACCAAGAUGGCGGCCGUGGGGCGAGUCGGCUCUUUCGGUUCUUCUCCGCCGGGAUUAUCCUCGACUUACACUGGCGGCCCCUUGGGCAACGAGAUAGCGUCGGGCAACGGUGGCGCUGCGGCAGGCGACGACGAGGACGGGCAGAACCUUUGGUAACGACUCCACCCCUCCCUCAGCCCCCGCUGGCUCCCCCGGCCUUGCGCGGACGCCUCGGGAUCCCGUGCCCGCUGGAGCUCGGCGCCGGGCCCGGCCACUGCGUUCCCGGCAGCCCCAUCUCCGGCACGCCGAGGCCAGGUCCGUCCCUCCCGCGCUGCGGCUCUGGCCUCCGGCCUCACCGUACGCCUUGCUUCCCGUUAGGUCCUGCAUCCUCAGCGAGGUCUCCACCCGCUCGCGCUCCAAGCUCCCUGCGGGGAAGAACGUGCUACUGCUGGGUGAAGAUGGAGCUGGAAAAACAAGCUUAAUAAGAAAAAUUCAGGGAAUAGAAGAGUAUAAGAAAGGAAGAGGAUUGGAAUAUUUGUACUUA
Molecule: small RNA, 605 nt
Filed under: Pongo abelii (Sumatran orangutan)
Lineage: Eukaryota; Metazoa; Chordata; Mammalia; Primates; Hominidae
Description: retained intron
Source: RNAcentral